This 574-nucleotide ribosomal RNA is filed under the name uncultured Acetobacterium sp. RNAcentral describes it as "bacterial SSU rRNA". It matches the Rfam family "Bacterial small subunit ribosomal RNA", at positions 90 to 699 of the family's 1533-position model. The record is from RNAcentral. Lineage: Bacteria; Bacillati; Bacillota; Clostridia; Eubacteriales; Eubacteriaceae.
GGGGAGCGGCAGACGGGUGAGUAACGCGUGGGAACGUACCUUUUGCUACGGAAUAACUCAGGGAAACUUGUGCUAAUACCGUAUGUGCCCUUCGGGGGAAAGAUUUAUCGGCAAAGGAUCGGCCCGCGUUGGAUUAGCUAGUUGGUGAGGUAAAGGCUCACCAAGGCGACGAUCCAUAGCUGGUCUGAGAGGAUGAUCAGCCACACUGGGACUGAGACACGGCCCAGACUCCUACGGGAGGCAGCAGUGGGGAAUAUUGGACAAUGGGCGCAAGCCUGAUCCAGCCAUGCCGCGUGAGUGAUGAAGGCCCUAGGGUUGUAAAGCUCUUUCACCGGUGAAGAUAAUGACGGUAACCGGAGAAGAAGCCCCGGCUAACUUCGUGCCAGCAGCCGCGGUAAUACGAAGGGGGCUAGCGUUGUUCGGAUUUACUGGGCGUAAAGCGCACGUAGGCGGACUUUUAAGUCAGGGGUGAAAUCCCGGGGCUCAACCCCGGAACUGCCUUUGAUACUGGAAGUCUUGAGUAUGGUAGAGGUGAGUGGAAUUCCGAGUGUAGAGGUGAAAUUCGUAGAUAUUC